GACGAACGCUGGCGGCGUGCUUAACACAUGCAAGUCGAACGGAAAGGCCCUGCUUUUGUGGGGUGCUCGAGUGGCGAACGGGUGAGUAUCACGUGAGUAACCUGCCCUUUACUUUGGGAUAACUUCAGUAAACUGGGGCUAAUACCGGAUAUGAGCUCCUUCUGCACGGUGUGGGUUGUAAAGUUUCGGCGGAUGGGGAUGGACUCGCGGCUGAUCAGCUUGUUGGUGGGGUAGUGGCUUACCAAGGCAUUGACGGGUAGCCGGCCUGAGAGGGUGACAGGCCACAUUGGGACUGAGAUACGGCCCAUACUCAUACGGGAGGCAGCAGUGGGGAAUAUUGCAAAAUGGGCGGAAGCCGGAAGGAGGAACGCCGCGUGCGGGAUGACGGCCUUCGGGUUGUAAACCGCGUGAGCCUGUGAAGAAGAGUGAGUGACGGUAAUGGGUAAAGAAGGACCGGCUAACUACGUG
This 468-nucleotide ribosomal RNA is filed under the name uncultured bacterium. Its description in RNAcentral is "partial 16S ribosomal RNA". It matches the Rfam family "Bacterial small subunit ribosomal RNA", at positions 28 to 507 of the family's 1533-position model. The record is from RNAcentral.